GCUCACUGGAUGUCAGAGCUUGGUCUGAAGGCAGGGUGGCCCAGGGAUCCAGGUGGAGAAUCUGUGGCAAGAGACAUUGGAAUGGUGGUAGGAGGGCAGUGGGGGAGUAUGUUAUAUCCAGAAACACCAGAACUUGUCUGCCUUGCCCCAUCCUCACAACCCUCCUUUGACAUACUUUAGCUCUUUUCAUUUUAUCUGCUUUGGGUUGUCCUCUACUUGCACCCUCAACCUUGGAGUGCCAGUCUCUGAGUAAGUUGGCUGGUUCCAGGCCUGGUUUUACUUGGGGAGGGCUGCACAUCAGGAUGCAGUAACUGCUUUUAAGGCUCACUCACUUACCUCCUUCUUCUCCUCACUUCCCCUUUAGCAUUGCUUCCUCUCCUAGCAUGAGGCUGCUUUCAACUCUCAGGUGCCAGAAACCUGUGAUCCAGCCAGGGCAUACCCUCUGCUCACACUGCCACCAGUUGGCACCCAGAACGUUCCACUCCACCAUUCUCUGUCCCUCCCCAACCAUGCAUAAAGGAAAAGCACACACACACACGUGUUAUUAAAAUGAACUGUUUAUAUUAUCUCAGUUGAGUCAAUACAUUAUAAUGUAUUAAAAUGGAAAGGUACAAAAUUGAAAUAAAUACUUUCUGAUUCAUGUAUAAAUCUUUUUUUUUUGUCAAGAUGACUUUUUUUUUCUUCAGUACAUGUCACAAGAAAACAUUUAAAAUGACACCGAAACAAUCAUUGAAAUCAUGGUGCAUGGAGGAAAAAGCCACUUCUCUACAUGGUCUGCACUUACAAUAGAUACAUUCAUUAUUGUCCAAGGGAAGACAGCGACUGCCUUUCAUUUUAAAGAGCUCGGUGGAGAGGCUGAAGAAAUUUGCUGCAGCUGAAGUUUAAUGAAUGCAGAUGGCCAGCAUCCUAUCUGUUCUGAAAAGAUUGCAAGCCACAGGUUGACAACAACAGAAUCUGGAGCUUAAAGAACGAAUCCGGGGCACCCUAUGACAACCUGUUCUACUGUUUAGUAAGUUGUAAGAUUUGGAACUGCCAUCUUCUGAAUUUCCACUCAGAUAAGCUGAGAAUCUGAGGUCUAUAUUUAAGGCCAAGCCACAUUUUGAAUGGGAAAAUCAGUGCAUGGCAAGCCCAACAACUUGUGAAGUGGAAGGUAAAAAAUCUCUACCAUAUCGGAACACCAUUUCAAUUUCAGGGUGGUGCUGUUGAGAAACCACAGAAGAAGAAACAAAGCCAGCAGAACAGCCGUUUUCAGAACUUUGAGAAGGCAAGUCUACGUGCUGUGUCCUUUACCUCUCUUCCAGUCUAUUCUUUUAAGAAGAUACGGAACACAGCACAAGUCCCAACAGCUUCCUGCGUG
Ochotona princeps (American pika) is the source of this 1357-nucleotide long non-coding RNA. RefSeq lists it as uncharacterized. The transcript is spliced from 5 exons. The record is from RefSeq and is a predicted model, not a curated record. NCBI's taxonomy places the organism in Eukaryota, Metazoa, Chordata, Mammalia, Lagomorpha, Ochotonidae.